This is a long non-coding RNA of Oncorhynchus tshawytscha (Chinook salmon), 1102 nucleotides long. NCBI's taxonomy places the organism in Eukaryota, Metazoa, Chordata, Actinopteri, Salmoniformes, Salmonidae. The record is from Ensembl.
GGAACGUGGCCCAGGUUACCACGACAAGUUAAAGGUACCGCCGCCUCCUUCCCUUCCCAUUGGUGGCCUUGUAAAGGGACUUGUGUUAUUGGUCAGUGAGGUUGUCUGUCUAAUGGAUGUGAUCAUGUUUAUAGUUGUACAGACUGACUCAAAUGUAUCUUUUAGUUUCAAAUAUGACAGAUUAGUUUGUUUGUUUUCAUGUCCAUACUGUAACCUGUUGUUGAUGACAAUAGUGUGUGUAUAGGUAUGCCAACACUGUAAGAUACGCCACCUCAUAGGGCUGAGAGACAGCUAGAGACUGACUCCAGAUGAGCGUUUCUCUCCUACCACGUCACACUGCCUUUUAUAUGACUGUAUAAAGAUCGACUGUCCUAGUUUCUCUAGCUCCGGAGAUUACGUGUCUGUCUUUCCACUGUGCCUCGCUCUGGCCUUGUACAGACUGACGCCUGGGCCCAGUUUCACAAAACCUUUUAGAAGACAUUUCUUAAGUGCCAUUUUUUUCCCUUAAUUUUAUAUGUAUUAAAAUGUGCUGUUCCUCAAUAAGGUUAUUGCAAAUGUCCUUAAGUUUCUUCCUAUGAAAAUAGUUUAAAAUACAUUUGAUUCUUGAAAAGGAAGUUAUUGGAUUUCUUCUUGUAAUUCCAAGAUGGCUAUAGUAAACACUUGUCUUAAACUCAUGGAAGUGAGAAAAUAAGCUAAUGAAAGCAAUUGAACAUGUUUAUUGAUUCUACUGAAACUUUCAGUUGGAUUUGUUUUAAAUCCAAUAAAACAUUUUAGACCAGUAAUCUCAGUAAGAAAUAUGCUAACAUGAUUGCCCUUGCUAGAUAGCUCUGUUGCCUAGCGACAAUCAUCUUAGGAAGAUAUUUAAGAAGUCCGUUUGAGUUCUUAUGAGCUUAUUUAUUUUUAAAAAGCUUAAGUUUUUGCAUAACUUUUGUAAAACUCUGCCCUGAUGCCUUAGUUGUAAUCUAAAACUGUUUACUUCCAUGUUUUAAAUGAUUAAACAACAAAAUCACUGUUUCACGGUUGGCCUUGUCAAUGAACAUAUGUUUCUUUCUCUAACAAUCUGCAUUUUUUUUUAAUAUGCCACUAAUUUUUACAAUAAAAC